RNAcentral lists this ribosomal RNA (202 nucleotides) under uncultured bacterium. RNAcentral describes it as "partial 16S ribosomal RNA". It matches the Rfam family "Bacterial small subunit ribosomal RNA", at positions 524 to 727 of the family's 1533-position model. The record is from RNAcentral.
UACAGAGGUCUCAAGCGUUGUUCGGAUUCAUUGGGCGUAAAGGGUGCGUAGGCGGCGCGGUAAGUCGGGUGUGAAAUCUCGGAGCUUAACUCCGAACUGCAUUCGAUACGGCCGUGCUUGAGGACUGGAGAGGAGACUGGAAUUUACGGUGUAGUGGUGAAAUGCGUAGAUAUCGUAAGGAAGACCAGUGGCGAAGGCGGUC